UAUUAUGGUGACUGGGACACAGCUCUAUAAUGUUUCCUACCCUGGGUUUGCAAUAUAUUAUGAUAUAUUAUGAUCUAAUCCAUGGGGUAAUAAAAGGCUAUGAAAUAUUAAAUGAUAAACCUUUAUUGUAAAUUACAACAGCCGUAUCCUCUGUGAGGACUUUUAAUGUUAAUCCAUUCAAUAUCUGGGUGUACAGUAUAUACAGUAUCAUGUGUUAUGACAUGAAUAACAGUGACUGUUUUAU
Non-coding RNA from Pelobates cultripes (western spadefoot toad), 244 nucleotides. The record is from the annotation of a GenBank genome assembly. Lineage: Eukaryota; Metazoa; Chordata; Amphibia; Anura; Pelobatidae.